GUCAGUGACUUGCUUUCAGGGUGCCUGCUUGGGCUAAGAGGCUCUGCUUGGUGGGCCCUACCUUUGAUUGUUCAUCUGCCUCAGGUACAAGCAGUCAGUUCUCAGCAGGGGCUGAUCGGGCCACCUCUCCUCUUGUGUCCCUCUACCCUGCUCUGGAGUGCCGGGCCCUCAUCCAGCAGAUGUCCCCCUCUGCCUUUGGUCUGAAUGAUUGGGAUGAUGAUGAGAUCCUAGCAUCGGUGCUGGCAGUGUCCCAACAGGAAUACCUAGACAGUAUGAAGAAAAACAAAGUGCACAGAGACCCACCCCCAGACAAGAGUUGAUGGAGACCCAGGGACUGGACACCAUCCCCGAUCCCCCACUCCUGCCCUUUAAUGCCACCCAAACUUCUUUGGCUUUCUUCCCUCUUGGCUUCCUUCCUUUGUUUCCUCUUUUCCUUCUUUUCCACUUCCCUCUGGCUGGCCCACCCAUGCGCUCCAUCCAUCUCAUCCCUGCCACCACCAUUGGUCUCUGCCAGCUGAUGUGCCCUAUUGCCCCCCUGCACAGCACCAUCUCAGCAUUCCACAGGGGACUCUGGACAGGGUGCGGAAGGUAGGCAAGAGACCCACAGAGACAGACCAUCUGGCAGCCAGGCAGCCCCAGAAGAGAGACAUUCAGACAAAGGAAGUCUUCUGCUCGUCCUUCCUUAAAGAUCAGAUAAACUUGUCACCCAACAAUGAUGACAAGAAAAGUGGGAGUGGGAAAUUUUCCUUC
RNAcentral lists this long non-coding RNA (750 nucleotides) under Rattus norvegicus (Norway rat). Its description in RNAcentral is "long non-coding RNA NONRATT030884". The record is from RNAcentral. Lineage: Eukaryota; Metazoa; Chordata; Mammalia; Rodentia; Muridae.